Non-coding RNA from Sphaeramia orbicularis (orbiculate cardinalfish), 493 nucleotides. Lineage: Eukaryota; Metazoa; Chordata; Actinopteri; Kurtiformes; Apogonidae. The record is from the annotation of a RefSeq genome assembly.
AGCUGAUCUGAUCCUGAACUACACAAGACACAACAACUGAUCUAUUCAACACAGUUCAAUCUACAAACCAGGAACAUUCCCUUUAUUCAACAUGCUGGACCUGGAUUACUGGAUGGUUUAUCUCCAUCUACUGGUUGUUCUCACAGGUGUCGACUGUGAAGAUCUGAGUCCAGUCAAGAAUGAAGAGUCCAGUUUAGAAGGAAACUCUGUUACUCUCACAUAUAAAUACCCUAAAAUGGUGUCAACUGAUUAUUUCUUCUGGUAUCGACAAUAUCCAGGAAAACCACCACAGCUCCUCAUUUCACACUCAUCCUCAGGAUCAACAGGAAUUGAAAAAGUUUCUGGACUGAAGAUUAAUGUGGAGAAAAACCUCAUCUCUAUGAGCAUCUCCUCUGCUGCAGUGUCAGACUCUGCUGUGUACUACUGUGCUGUGAGGCCCACAGUGACAGGAAAUCUGACCAAAGUACCACCUUCACCUUUCCUGUCCACGUAG